CCUACGGGAGGCAGCAGUGGGGAAUAUUGCACAAUGGGGGGAACCCUGAUGCAGCGACGCCGCGUGAGUGAAGAAGUAUUUCGGUAUGUAAAGCUCUAUCAGCAGGAACGAGACAAGACGGUACCUGACUAAGAAGCCCCGGCUAACUACGUGCCAGCAGCCGCGGUAAUACGUAGGGGGCAAGCGUUAUCCGGAAUCACUGGGUGGAAAGGGAGCGUAGACGGCUGAGCAAGCCUGAAGUGAAAGGCGGGGGCCCAACCCCCGGACUGCUUUGGGAACUGUACGGCUGGAGUGCAGGAGAGGUAAGUGGAAUUCCUAGUGUAGCGGUGAAAUGCGUAGAUAUUAGGAGGAACACCAGUGGCGAAGGCGGCUUACUGGACUGUAACUGACGUUGAGGCUCGAAAGCGUGGGGAGCAAACAGGAUUAGAUACCCUUGUAGUC
Molecule: ribosomal RNA, 441 nt
Filed under: uncultured bacterium
Lineage: Bacteria
Description: partial 16S ribosomal RNA
Rfam family: Bacterial small subunit ribosomal RNA
Source: RNAcentral